UCGAACGCGACUUAGGCUUCGGUCUAAGUUGAGUGGCGAACGGGUGAGUAACACGUGGGUGACCUACCUUCGAGUGGGGGAUAACGUCCCGAAAGGGACGCUAAUACCGCAUAACGUCCUGCCUUUGAACAGGCGGAGAUCAAAGCCGGGGAUCGCAAGACCUGGCGCUUGAUGAGGGGCCCGCGUCCGAUUAGCUAGUUGGUGAGGUAAUGGCUCACCAAGGCAACGAUCGGUAGCCGGCCUGAGAGGGCGGACGGCCACACUGGGACUGAGACACGGCCCAGACUCCUACGGGAGGCAGCAGUGGGGGAUUGUUCGCAAUGGGCGCAAGCCUGACGACGCAACGCCGCGUGGAGGAUGAAGGUCUUCGGAUUGUAAACUCCUGUUGCCCGGGACGAAUGGCUCCAACCUAAUACGUUGGAGUGUGACGGUACCGGGUGAGGAAGCCCCGGCUAACUCUGUGCCAGCAGCCGCGGUAAUACAGAGGGGGCAAGCGUUG
This 499-nucleotide ribosomal RNA is filed under the name uncultured bacterium. RNAcentral describes it as "bacterial SSU rRNA". It matches the Rfam family "Bacterial small subunit ribosomal RNA", at positions 62 to 543 of the family's 1533-position model. The record is from RNAcentral.